Callithrix jacchus (white-tufted-ear marmoset) is the source of this 296-nucleotide unclassified non-coding RNA. It matches the Rfam family "Metazoan signal recognition particle RNA". From Rfam's summary of the family: The signal recognition particle (SRP) is a universally conserved ribonucleoprotein. It is involved in the co-translational targeting of proteins to membranes. The eukaryotic SRP consists of a 300-nucleotide 7S RNA and six proteins: SRPs 72, 68, 54, 19, 14, and 9. NCBI's taxonomy places the organism in Eukaryota, Metazoa, Chordata, Mammalia, Primates, Cebidae. The record is from Ensembl.
ACUGGGUGUGGUGGCACAUGCCUGUAGUCCCAGCUACUUGGGAGACUGAGGUAGGAGGAUUGCUUGAGCCCAGGAGUUCUGGGCUGUAAUGCACUAUGCUGAUCAGGUGUCCACACUAAGUUCGACAUCAAUAUGGUGACCUGGGAUCAGGGACCACUAGAUUGCCUAAGGAGGGGUGAACCAGCCCAGGUUGGAAAUGGAGCAGGUCAAAAUUCCUGUGUGGAUCAGUAGUGGGAUGACGCCUGUGAAUAACCAAUGCACUCCAGCCUGGGCAACAUAGCAAGAUCCCAUCUCUA